Molecule: ribosomal RNA, 524 nt
Filed under: uncultured bacterium
Lineage: Bacteria
Description: bacterial SSU rRNA
Rfam family: Bacterial small subunit ribosomal RNA
Source: RNAcentral
CGAGGAAUAUUGCGCAAUGGACGAAAGUCUGACGCAGUAACGCCGCGUGCGGGACGAAGACCUUCGGGUUGUAAACCGCUUUUCCUGCGGACGAGUGAGGACGGUACGCAGGGAAUCAGUCUCGGCUAACUACGUGCCAGCAGCCGCGGUAAGACGUAGGAGGCGAGCGUUAUCCGGAUUCACUGGGCGUAAAGCGCAUGUAGGCGGUUCGACAAGUCGUGUGUGUAAGCCCCUGGCUCAACUGGGGGAGGUCAUGCGAGACUGUGGGACUGGAGGGCAGCAGAGGCGUAUGGAACUCCCGGUGUAGCGGUGGAAUGCGUAGAGAUCGGGAAGAACACCAGUGGCGAAGGCGGUACGCUGGGCUGCACCUGACGCUGAGAUGCGAAAGUGUGGGGAGCAAACGGGAUUAGAUACCCCGAUAGUCCACACCUUAAACGAUGAGCACUAGGUGUGGGGGGGAAGACCCUCCGUGCCGUAGCUAACGCGUUAAGUGCUCCGCCUGGGGACUAUGAGCGCAAGCUUAA